RNAcentral lists this ribosomal RNA (253 nucleotides) under uncultured bacterium. RNAcentral's name for it is "partial 16S ribosomal RNA". It matches the Rfam family "Bacterial small subunit ribosomal RNA", at positions 524 to 776 of the family's 1533-position model. The record is from RNAcentral.
UACGGAGGGUGCAAACGUUGCUCGGAAUCAUUGGGCGUAAAGCGCACGUAGGCGGCCUGUUAAGUCGGGUGUGAAAGCCCUGGGCUCAACCCAGGAAGUGCACUCGAAACUGGCGGGCUUGAAUAUGGAAGAGGGCCGCGGAAUUCCCGGUGUAGAGGUGAAAUUCGUAGAUAUCGGGAGGAACACCAGUGGCGAAGGCGGCGACCUGGGCCAAUAUUGACGCUGAGGUGCGAAAGCGUGGGGAGCAAACAGG